Molecule: long non-coding RNA, 6344 nt
Organism: Anas platyrhynchos (mallard)
Lineage: Eukaryota; Metazoa; Chordata; Aves; Anseriformes; Anatidae
Source: RefSeq, a predicted model, not a curated record
AGAGCUUAGAAAUAAAAAGUGAAUUACUGUAUUGUUGAUGCAGUGGAGCUCUGAAGAAUGAACUGUUUACUGAAGCAAUGGAUACUUGAGAACAGUUAAGUUAAUAUUACCUCCUUCAGUUAAUCUUACCUUUUACCUGCACAUCCUUCAACAUAUUUUGCAUAUUUUAUUGUUUGAAAAACAUGCCUUUGCAACAAAUGACUGAAAACAAAAUAAAAAUAAAAGCGUUCUGAGAACUAAUCAUUUCCCCAGUCCUGCAAUAACCCCCUUAGUUAUUGUCUGGACAGCUAGUAUCAGAUUUUGUUGCAUAAUGAAGAUUUUCCCUGUGACUGCUGUGAGGUCUAUCCAGAGCCUUCUCUUCUCCAGGCAGAACAACCCCAACUCCCUCAGCUUUUUUUCAAAGGAGCUCCAACCCUCUGAUCAUCCUCGCAGCCCUCCUCUGCAACAGGUUCAUGUCCUUCUUAUGUUGGCAGCCCCAGAACUGAACACAGUACUUUAGGUGGGGGUCUAGUUUUGUACGCCACAUCUCUGUCAAGGUUGUUUGCUGUUCCUCCUGAAAGCUAUCAGCAAUUAAUUUUGUUCUUUUUACAGAAUCACAGAGUGGAUGAGGUUGGAAGGGACCUCUGAAGAUCAUCUAGACCAAUCCCCCUGCCAAGCUUUUCAGGUAGGAGUUUCAGAAAAAGCCCUACGGGUUCCCUCAGGCAACUCCUGCUGAGUCUAGAGCAAUUUGUGUGUAUCAGUGUUAAUCAGCAUGGGAAAUGAGUGGAGCACGUGGCUGUACCAGAGAGUCUGAGUGGUUUCUGCUACACCACUAACCAAACUGGACAUAGUUUUUCACAGCACUACAUGCAUGUCCCUAUUGAGACUGUUAUCAAAUGGAUACUGGAGUCUCAUCUUUUAAAGGGGAGGUGCAACUCAGAAGGUUCUUAAACAGCAACAGAUUAAAGUGUUGGCUUAAGAAGAAGAUUUGUACCACCAGUGAAGUUCGAAGGUGACACAAGUAUUGUGAAUAUAGCAGUUGCUGGAAAAGAGAAAACUGCUGGUGCAGAAUGAUUUGAAUUGGUUGGUAUGCUGAAAGAGCAAAGAAAACCAUGUUUUACUGUGAUUUUUUUUUCCCCAGUAGUGAUAAUGAUGGUAAGGAUAGGGAGAGUUCCCUUGUGGCAAACGACAAUGGAAAAGUCUUGAAACUCCUGUGGAAUAUCACCUAGAUGUGACCAGAAUAUUGUUGUGACUGAAAGAUCUCAUGUAAUCUUGCCUAUAUAGAGAGAGAACUAUCAAAUUUGGGGUAUAGAAGGUAUAUCAUCUGUACAUCUGAUAUAUGUUCCAUAUUUUUUUAAAGGAAUGUAGUGGUUUUACCCUGAUGGACAGAUGAACUCCACCACAACUACUCUCUUGCUCCCCUUCCUCAAAGGGGAGGGAGGGAGGGAGGGGAAAGAGCAGGAGGGGAGAAAGUAUGAUGGGAAAGGAAAAGGCUCACAGGUUGAGAAAAGGAUAAUUUAAUGAGAGGGAAAAGAAACAACAACAACAACAAAAAUCACACAAAGAUCAUACUGUUGUAUUGACUUAUACAACAGAAGUGUGAUCAGACACACCUUCAUGAGUUUCCCAGCAAGCAAAGUAAUCUGUACCAUAUCAGAAAAAUGUUGAAAAUGCUUCAAAUGUGGAAAAAAAAUCCAACAAAAUUCCAGCUCUUGACUGGCCCCAGAAGUUGAAUUCAUGAUAGUAAAAGAUAAAAGUACAGCAAGAGAAAUUGCACAAUUUACAUUCUUUAAAUGGCUUGAGUUUAGAAGGUUAAUGUACAAUACAUGGAGACCCCACAGUGCAGUGUCCCAUCACAGAACAUUAUCAAAUGCUACCCCUGACAGCCUGUGAGCUGAAGGUCAAGAAUUUAUCAUCCUUUCAUUAAAUAAUCAGAAUGGAAAUAAAUGAACAAUAGAAGGUGAGAAAAUCAACAGCUAUAAUGGCAGUAAGAUUAAAACUAGCGCUUUAAGGAGGAUUACUGUUAAAGUCCACUAGAUUUUAACAGUAAAUGCCAAGGUUUGGGAUUUUGUUGGAGAUGAAAACCCUAAGCUAUUUUCUUCACUGUGAUGACCUUUCUGUUGUAAUUUUCCUUUGAGCAAAUUGAUAAUAGGAAAAUAAGAGGGAAGAUAAUCUCACCCUGAUAUGCUCUGCCCAUUCACGGUUUUGCUCAAGAUUGUGUUUUCAAAUGAGAAAAAGAAAGCCCUUCUUUCAUUUGAAAUCUCAUGAACUAUUUAGCCUUAAAUCACAGGAGAUACAACAACCUGAAUGACUCCAGUAGUUUGCAUUCUGUGAAUAAUUAUGCUUUUCCUAUGAGAAAAUGAAGUUAUUACCUGGUUUAAUAUGUCGCUUCCUAAUUCCAGGAGAGGUUUGCCUUUUUAAGCUUUAUUGCAAAGACUGAAAUGCUCAUUUGCUCUUUCUUUUCCCCCCUCCUCCACCUGUCCAUCAUUUUUAUUAUGUCAUUAAGAGAACUAGAUAUAUAUUAGCUGCUAUGGGCUCAGAUACAAGGUGAUGCAAAGGAAAGAGGAGGUAUCUUCAUCUUUGAGUUAUAUAUAUGAUGACCAAAAUAAAUACGUGAAUUUUUUCUGCCUGUAGACUUUCAAUUACGCUUACAGAUAAAAUAAAUACUAAACCCCUUUCCUUACUGCUGAAGUCAGGAUGUAUCCAUUUUCUAUAUAAGCUGAUCUAUGUUUGAAUAUAUGUACUGAUUAUAGCAUUGAAUUGAUAGUGCAACUGUGUUCAAAAAGACAAUAAAGGCAGAGUCCUAGCAAUUCUGGCAGUAAAUCCAGUCUCAAAAUAAUGUAAUUAUUUAAUAUAGUCUUCUUUUGCUAGGUCUUGAUUCUGUUUAAAGGAAAAUAAUAUAUUCCUCUUUUGUUCUGCACAGCAACAGAGCAAGUUGAGAGUAACAGAAUGUUCUAUUAACUGAACUAACGGAGCAGCUCUUUCUGCUAAACUUAUAUAACUCUUUAGACACACCAUGUGCUGCUUGUUCACUUCCAGUCUAUCUCCUAAUCAUUCUAGCAAGUCAAGUAAGGUCUCUUCCUGCUUAAAGGAUAUUUCCCUACAUCACAGUCUUGAAGCCUCACUUGCUGCUAAUUGCAGUGAUUGCAAAUGUGUUGACACUAAAGCUUGUUGAAUGCUGAAAAGAAAUCUGCAAAUAUUUAUUUGACUUAGUAAGCACAUGUGUUUUCACAGUGUUCACACCCUUUGGAGAUUUACUUCUACUCACAAGCUUAGUAACACGAAUGGUUGCAAAGCAACGUAUUUUGAAUAAAUAUUGCGAAUUUCUGGAAAGCAAAUUUCAAAAUCAUAAUGGCAAAUAUUAUUGCUGAAAAACUGUUCUUAAGCAGACUGUUAAGACUUACUAAAGUUGGUAUAAUAUUCUGUAGAUGAAAUAGCUCGUGAGUUUUCAAGAAUAAGAGAGAUCAGUGAAUUUGCCAGUUUGCACCAGCAAAAAACUUAACUGCUAAGCCAUAUCUGUAGAGCCAUCUGGGCAUCAUUACUUGAGAUGUGCACAGUUUGUCCUUGGGGAAAUGAGGGAUUUAAAUGCCAAAAUAAAUGUACUGUGCUACGGUUUAAAGUAUACACUGAAUUGUUUUAACAUUCUCAUCUCUCUUUCAUUUUGAAAACCGCAGAGCCCUGCAGUGAUCAGUUUAUUAGUGAACUUUUGUGAAAAAUAGUGCUCAAAGGAUCCUAUUUCUCUGUGUCUUCAUUUUCUCAAACCUCCUUAGAUAUUUUCCUUACAGGAUUUUUGUUCUCCAUGCUAUGUACUUGACAAUAUAAGAAAACAAGCUAAUGGGGUUGAAAUGGAAGAAAGAUACAGGUGAGGAGACAACAGUAAAGAAGGGAUACAAUCCUAAUUUCUAAAUAAGAAAAGGGGAAUAGAUGAUUUUGUAAUUUUUGGCUAGUAAAUUUCACACCUUUGCAUAGAAAUCAGGAAAAGAUGAUAAAUUAUAUAUUAUAUAACUAUAGAACCUACUCUUUAACUGCCAUUUCACCUCUGGUCUACAUUACUUUACAUUUAAAACAUUAUUAGGAAUAUUACCCAUAAAAGCUAAGCAUGGGAACAAGGUUAAGCCUGAGAAAUAAAAUUACCUUUUCCUUUCAAUUCUUUAAUGUAUAUAUUGCAAUGUUAAGGGAAAAAUGAAAUAUUAUGUUGAAGCUUUUUUGAAUCAUUUAAUCUUAGACUGCUCUUUAGGUUCAGUAUACUGAAUCCUACUUUGAUGAAGUUACUUAAAAAAAAGAAUGAUAAAAAUGUGCUGAUGUUCAACCUUAUAGAAAUACUAUUGCAAGCUUAAACAAGCAGUUGUCCAUUUUAUACUGGUGCAAAAUGUAAGAUGUUGACAAAAGAAUUUAAGGCAAAAAAAAAAAAAAAGGAGUUAAAUUCCUUUGAAAAAAAUAGUGUGGUUGCCCCACACUUUUUCUUUAGAUGCUUCCCUUUCUUUUACCUCAGUCCCAGUUAUUUGAGGUUGCCAUGUGUUAUUAGAAAAAAAUCUUAGAUCAGUUUAUUGUCAGUGUGUACAGCUUUCCCCAAACUAUUAUAAUAAGAAGCCAAUUCACCUGCAAUGUUUGAAAACAAUUUGCUGCUGCUGUGUGUGUAUUCAGUGUCUUACAAAAUGCAGGUAAUUGUUUUAAUUGUUUAUUUAGCAGUAUCUGAUUAAACAUGCAGACAUAUCACCAUAAUUAAGCUAGUUCUGUUCUGAACUUGGCGUAAAUCAGCUCAGAUGCUGAGGUCUAAUCACUGGUAGUUGAAAGCACUAGUGGCAUCUGGUGAGACAAAUGGAUAAAUAUCUUACAGAAGCCUGGGAGUUGGUGAGGUUACCAGCCUCACAGAAGACCAUUAUUUUGUCAUUAACUGGUGUGAGCAACAGUGUAUAACUCAUUUGCAGAACUCUCAAACUAUGAACGUUUCCUUCCCCUUCCUUCUCAUUCCCCUCCUCCCCCCAAGCGAUGUGCAAAAUUUUAGUAAGAGACUCCAUGUCCUGAAGACCAUACCUUUGAAGUAUAUAAGACGGGCAAAGUGUGGCAGAAGGGAAGAACUGUUAUAACUAAUUUACAGGAAACUGAAGCUCAAAGAUGUUAACUUUUUCUAAGAUCAGACAGGAGGCUGGAACUGUGAAUCAAGGUAAGGAGCUUAAGGACAGGAUGUUCUUUCUGGAUUUGUUUUCUUAAAUAUUGGAAAGAAAAUGUUUGUGAUCUCCAGAUUUGACAUAGCAGGGAUAUUUCUCCCCUUGGAAAUCUCCAUGGAAACGCAUGAUACAGAUUGAAAUGGAGACUGCAAAGCAAAAGCAAUACAGCUCUGGGCUGUUUAACUGUAGCAAAGAAUUUUCUAUGUGGUAACAUCUCCUUAAAAGUGGAUUAGGAUAACUGUGAAUAAAGGGAGCAUCUUUGUCAAGGGCUAAAACCAGAACUUUUGUCAUCAGUGAAAUGCUGUGGCAAUGUGGCACCUGUUCUGUAAGGGUUAUCAGAUUAUAAAGGCUGAAAAGUAGGACAAAUCCAGAAGAAAAAUCACUCUUAUAGUAGACCAGGAUUGUUUAAUGCACCUGUAGGAUGGCAUCAUGAUUGUUCCUUGUAUGCACCAUUAUGUUGUGUAUUUCUCUGGCUGCUCAGCAGCUAGUGGAAAAUACAGAAACCUCAACCGAUUAAUUUGCAAAUGGAGUCAGGAUUUUUGUAUAUAGAAUGAAGGUUUUGAUUCCUAAAGGUUGUCUGUCAGUCUUUUUUUUCAGCCUUCUUUUGGAAUCUUGUCGCAUAAAGGCCAGACUCAGCCUAUUCUGGGUAGAACACCACAAAUUAGAAAUUUUAUGGUUUUAAUAUUUCUAAGACUUCAAGGUAGAGUUAGGCAUUGUGGUCCUUUUUAUGCAAAAGUAACUAGUUCAGAGACUAAUGCUGCUUCUUUUUGCCCAUAUGUCUUAAUCUCCAUCAUAAUUUUUAGGUCCUAAGAAAUGCAGAUUUGGGCCUUUUCUGUUCUAAACUGACUGUGCAAAAUUUGUUCUGAGUUGAUGGUGCUGCUUAGUCAGUUCUACCAAGAAUGAAAUAUAUGCAUAUGUAGUUUACGUAUGUGACACAUUUAUUUACCUUCAUUGUUAUCCUACUAUGCUUAUAUUCUUCCCAUAAAAUAAUGGCUAAUAAAGUUUUCCUUUAAUUAGUACAUUUUGAUUUGAUAUUUUCUAGCUCAUUUAAGACAUGCAGAAUUACUAUUUGCUUGUGUUUAUUUUCUUUUUGCAAACUUACAGUUAUGUUCCUUUACUGAGAGACAAUGUGAACAGUUAAUACCGGUUUUCUAGCUUUCAUGCUUUCUAGCAUACUGUCUUGCAUUUUAAGUUAUG